UAGGUGACUGUUUCUUUGCUUUGGAGA
RNAcentral lists this non-coding RNA (27 nucleotides) under Homo sapiens (human). Lineage: Eukaryota; Metazoa; Chordata; Mammalia; Primates; Hominidae. The record is from RNAcentral.